CCUCAAUGGCAGCCAAGUCCUUACUCGCCGCUGCUCCGUGACACAUUGCGGAUUUUGGCGCCUCGUCCAGGUGAGCCUGGGUCAGAAGGCAAUCCCGGAACUAUCGAGCCUGGUCCA
Long non-coding RNA from Rhipicephalus microplus (southern cattle tick), 117 nucleotides. NCBI's taxonomy places the organism in Eukaryota, Metazoa, Arthropoda, Arachnida, Ixodida, Ixodidae. The record is from RefSeq and is a predicted model, not a curated record.